Molecule: ribosomal RNA, 253 nt
Filed under: uncultured bacterium
Lineage: Bacteria
Description: partial 16S ribosomal RNA
Rfam family: Bacterial small subunit ribosomal RNA
Source: RNAcentral
GACAGAGGGUGCGAACGUUGCUCGGAAUGACUGGGCGUAAAGCGCGUGUAGGCGGCUCCGCAAGUCCGAUGUGAAAGCCCAGGGCUCAACCCUGGAAGUGCAUUGGAAACUACGGAGCUGGAGUCCUGGAGAGGAGAGCGGAAUUUCCGGUGUAGAGGUGAAAUUCGUAGAUAUCGGAAGGAACACCAGUGGCGAAGGCGGCUCUCUGGACAGGUACUGACGCUGAGACGCGAAAGCGUGGGUAGCAAACAGG